This 107-nucleotide small nuclear RNA is filed under the name Carlito syrichta (Philippine tarsier). Lineage: Eukaryota; Metazoa; Chordata; Mammalia; Primates; Tarsiidae. The record is from RNAcentral.
AUGCUCGCUUAUGCAGUACAUUUACUAAAUUUGGAAUGAUACAGGGAAGAUUAGCAUGGCCCCUGCACAAGGAUGCCACACAAAUUUGUGAAGCAUUCUAUAUUUAA